AUGCACACACAUCUUACUUCUUUAAUAGCUGGGAAGGACCAAGUAACCUGCAACGAAGGCCACUCGCAGCCAUGGCAGCGACCUCCUGUGUUGCAGGCUUGGGAUCGCCUCUCUCCCUCGCACGCCCUUCGUCAAAGCCUUCCCUUGCCUCCGGUACAACCACUGCUCAUGGCCUUUCGCUAUCUUGGAUAGAUCUAACCAUGGAUUCAACAGGUUUCAUCGGGACUCGGGGGGCCGCAAGGAACCCUCUGAAGCUGAAGCUCGCUUCGGGUGGAAGGUUCACCUGGUAAGGAUCACACUAUCCCCACCUUUGAGGACUGCAGAUGGAUGUUUACGUGUGAUUUGUCCUUGUGCAUGGCUGUGGGAGAAGCUUCGAGAGGAAUUGGCUGCGCACCGACCUCAACGUGAUCGGGUUCGGUUUGAUCGGGUGGCUCGCGCCGUCGAGCAUUCCGGCGAUCGGUGGGAAGAGCUUGACGGGGCUCUUCUUCGAGAGCAUCGGCACUGAGCUGGCUCACUGGCCGACAGGCCCAGCUCUCACAUCGCAGUU
RNAcentral lists this long non-coding RNA (547 nucleotides) under Musa acuminata (dwarf banana). RNAcentral describes it as "long non-coding RNA (MACU_LNC003077)". Lineage: Eukaryota; Viridiplantae; Streptophyta; Magnoliopsida; Zingiberales; Musaceae. The record is from RNAcentral.